Molecule: ribosomal RNA, 253 nt
Filed under: uncultured bacterium
Lineage: Bacteria
Description: partial 16S ribosomal RNA
Rfam family: Bacterial small subunit ribosomal RNA
Source: RNAcentral
UACGUAGGGUGCAAGCGUUAAUCGGAAUUACUGGGCGUAAAGCGUGCGCAGGCGGUUUUGUAAGUCUGUCGUGAAAUCCCCGGGCUCAACCUGGGAAUUGCGAUGGAGACUGCAAGGCUAGAAUCUGGCAGAGGGGGGUAGAAUUCCACGUGUAGCAGUGAAAUGCGUAGAGAUGUGGAGGAAUACCGAUGGCGAGGGCAGCCCCCUGGGUCAAGACUGACGCUCAUGCACGAAAGCGUGGGGAGCAAACAGG